RNAcentral lists this long non-coding RNA (5153 nucleotides) under Sus scrofa (pig). Its description in RNAcentral is "lncRNA (ENSSSCG00030009792.1)". Lineage: Eukaryota; Metazoa; Chordata; Mammalia; Artiodactyla; Suidae. The record is from RNAcentral.
AAGUUGACAAGUUGAAGAAGGAAUUAUGAAUUCUGCUAACAUAGGUUUAUCUCCCUCCUUUAGAUUGUCCUCCAAUCCCACUCCUGUUCCCACAUAAAUCUCCUCAAUUCAGCCUCAAAGUCUGGAUCACAGCCAUCCUCAGAGACCCCAGGGCAUGGCAUUAGAAUGGGGUCUCUUUGGGCACUGACUCAGCCUCCUCACUAGGCCCAUUUACAGACAUUAGUUUUACAUUAAUGUGUGUAAAAUGCAUACUGUUGUGGAGCUAAUGUUUUCAGCUGGUAAAUAAUUCUAAAAAGUCAAAGACGGGAGUUCCCAUCAUGGCUCAGCAGUAACAAUCCCAACUAGUACCCACGAAGAUGUGGGCUCAAUCCCUUGCCUUGUUCAGUGGGUUAAGGAUCUGGCAUUGCUGUGAGCUGUGAUGUAUGUCACAGACAUGGCUCAGAUCCCUCAUUGCUGUGGCUGUGGCAUGGGCUGGCAGCUGCAGCUCCAACUAGACCCCUAGCCUGGGAACUUCCAUAUGACAAGGGUUUAGCCAUAAAAAUGCAAAAAAAUAAAACAAAAGGUCAAAGACAAAGCUAAAUACUGGGCUUGUGCAUGGGGAUGUGGAAGAGAGCUGGAGCCAGAGACCCAAGAUGACGGAUAUCCCGAGCCUUUUCCUCCACUGGUGAGGAAAGAACUGGCACCAGAGGGGCACCAGCAACAGUGUAGCAGGUGACCAAACCCAAGAAAGAGCUUGGAUCUGAGUGGGACCCAGAACUUGACCUGGUGAGGGGCCUCUCAGAGAGACAGAGUGACUCUGGGAAAACCACUGUAGCCUGAGUUCCCCAAUCAGUGGGAAUAACUGGACAACACAAAGGGGCUUGUGGAUGAGCACUGUGUCAGCCACACAGGAUGGUGUGACCAUUAUCCCCAAGCCCUGGUCUUAGGUUUUGUGAUUUGAAGCAAGGCCCGCAACCCUCCUGAGCCUAAGGGAAGCACUGGGAAGAGCGGCAGGAGAGUGGGAGGGCGCCAGACCGCUGAACCCAGAUUUCAUCAAAUCUCUUCCUUCUGCUCACCCCCUUAAGAAGGAAAGCCCCAUGGGGCUUGGGGUGCAGGGCCCAUGUCCCUGCCUGCAUCUGAACCUUCCAUCCUCCAGUUCCUGGAUGACUAAGAUGCUGCCGCCUCCCACCCGCCACGCACCCCUAGUGCUGCCCAGGGCAGGAUCCGGAGAGGGGCUCUCCAUCCACGGCCUGCACCCAGAAGGCACUAGAUGGGAGCCACGGGUCCUCCGCGCCGACUUGCAGCGCCGCCACCAGGGGGCGCUGCUCCCCUUGAAACGCUCCGAACCUUCCCUGGAUUUGGGGCCAGUCCUACAGAAAGCAGGCAUGUGGAAAUAAAGGUGGGCAAAUGAGAAGCUGUGAUGGAAGAAACAAAUACCGUAGCAAUGGCCAGGUCCCCAAAGUUCUGGUCUUGUUCCGGACCCCAAAUUCACGUUAAAGGGGCUCAUGUGACAAGUGGUACCUGCCUGUAGAAAUUUGGUUCUGACAUAAGGCCCACGUCCCCAGUUCUGCCUGACCGUAUGUGGGACUCUGUCACCACAGCAUGCAGGUUUAUAGCCAUUUGAGAUCAUCUAGGAACCAGUCUAGUUCCCAAGACCCAGGCCAGUAGGGACGGUACAGGAUAAAUAAGGGAAGUUUCCUGGUGACCUAGGGGUUAAGGAUCCAGCACCAUCACCACUGUGGCACAGGUCUGGCCCCUGGCCCAGGAACUUCUGCAUGCUAUGGGCAUGGCCAAAAAGAAGGAAUAAAUAGGGGAGAAGGACUUUGGAACCAGCAAAUUCUUUCCCAAGUAAGAAGCUUCAUGUCCCUGAGCAAGCCACCCAACCUCUCUGAGGCUGUUUUGUGAUAGAGAUAACAGUGCCUCCUGAAGGGGUCACUGGGACCAUCAGAGGUGAUGAUGCAGCUCCCAGCCCCAACCAGGCAGCUCGACCCUCUCACUGCCGCAACCCACUGGUGCAUGGCUGCCUUCUGAACCACUGUUCAACCGAGAAAACAAAUAUAUAAAACAGACAAGCCAGGUACCACUCCACUUCCACCUGAUUGGCUAUAAUUUUUAAAAAAAGACAAGUAUUGGUGAUGAUGUGCAAAAGUUGGAAUCCUCAUCCACUGCUGGUGGGAAUGUGAAGUGGUGCAGUCAGAGGAACAGCCUAGUCAUUCCUCAGAAGUUUCACUGUAGAAUCACCAUGGGAUCCAGCAAGUCUCCUCCUCCGUAUAGGCCCAAGAGAACUAAAAACAUAUGUUCAAAAAAAUCUGGCCCACAAAUGCUCAUAGUACCAAGAUUCACAGCCACUGAAAAGUGGAGACAGGGAGGCCCCAUCGUGGCUCAGCAGAAAUGAAUCUGACCAACAUCCAUGAGGACACAGGUUUGAUCCCUGGCCUCGUUCAGUGGGUUAAGGAUCUGGCGUUGCCUUGAGCUGUGGUGUAGGUCGCAGACAUGGCUCGGAUCUGCCUCCUCUCCCUGCUCCUUAAAUGUGAAGGAAUGUUCUCAGAGCUGUCCUGGACGCCCUCCUCCUUUUGCUCUACCUUGUGGUGGGGGGCACAGACCAUUGUCUUAUAUGCAUCAGGGUGGGCAGACAUCUGGGGACACAUAAGCCAGAAUCAGAGGCUCACCUCACUGUCACUGAUGUCCUUUCUCACUGGACGAAGUUGUGUAGGGAUCCCUGGGCAGCUCUCUACCUGCCUUAAGAAAGCCAGGUCCUUCCACCUGGGACGGCUCCGUCCACACUCCAGGAGAGAAGGGAAGACCCUGAGGAAGGCACUAGAAACUCAGCCACCACCCACCCUCCCACCUCAGCCGUUCCUCACCUAAAAUACACAGAAGCCGGGAAGAAAGUAGGGCUAACCUGUUUUCCCUACACUAGAGAAGUGGGGGGUGCAGAGGUCCUGGAGAUCAUUGCUGUCACAACCUGCAGGCAGUGUCUAUCCUCGGGUCUCUCCGUUAGCUACAGACAGACGGCUCCCUGGCUCCUCAGUGCGCAGCCCUUGCCCCGUUAAACGCACUCAUUCUACAGUUUUCCGUGCCAGCACCCAGCCCAAAAUCUUGGGGAGCACAGGUGACAUGGGCCACCACGUGAAGAAGCAGGGCCCAUGGAAACAGCUCUGGGGAGCCCCACUUUGUGGCCUCUCGCCUUCCCCUCCAGGACGUUAAGUCCCAAGACUCAUGUCACUCCAGCAUCUGAAGUCUGCUGUUCCUGAAGGUCAUGUUCGCAAGUCUCAUUCCUGUGACUAGAAUGCUCAGCCCUGUGUGAGCGUCCAAGCUGCCCCUUGCAGUCGGCAGAAGCGAGCAGCUGGCAGAGAACACUUGGCCAAGAUGCAUUUCCUCAGCCCUUGCAGAGGCAAUGGGAGGGAAGGUUUGGAGCUGACACUUCCUCUCACCCCCACCCCCACCACUAGGGAUCACUGCCUGCUGACCCUUGUCAUGAGCCCUGGGAACCCUAUGGUCUACCAACCUGUGGGCCGCACUGCCUCUGGCACAGUCCACUUGGAAACCAAGGAGCCCCAGGGCCAGCUCUCUUUCCCACGUGUUAAAAGAAAAUCUCGAACACCCUCCAUCCUGAGCAGCAGUGGGAGUGCAGACCCUCCCCAGCGUGGAGGUCGUCCGGAAUCCCUGCACCCCUUACCCACCAAGCUCAGCCUUGCCCUAGGACUCCCUGGGGACACUCUUUCCACCUAAAGGGGCCUUUCUCUGGCCAAGUCUUAUCUCAUGGUCAACAUUCAAGACAGACAUCCAGUCAAAAACCACCACAGAAGCACUUACCUUGUUAAACCCCUCUUUCCUAAUCCUCCACAUAUGACUGUCAAGAGUCUUUCUUAUUUAUUCACUUGUCUGUUUGUUCAUCAGCUGCCCCACCCCCCUAGUGGAAUACAAGCUCCAGGCAGCAGGGACCUCCAAGCACCUAGCAGAGCUCAGUACACUGUAGGAGCACAAUAAAAACUGUUCAUCAGUAUACGGGGCUGUUAAAGCUGCACGGCAGCAGGUGUAAAGCAAAAAGUUGCAGACGGGAGUGCAGGAGAGAGCAGGGGACCCUGCUCUGAGGGAGUGAGUGUGACACAGACCCUCGGUUGGGAGGGGUGGGGUGGAGUUCUGGCAACACCUGACAAAGCAAUUUCCUGGCUGGUGAGGCAGGAGCUGGAGUGUGAAGGUUACAGAGCCGGGGGACAGUCAGUCUUCCGCAGGCAAUUCUUUGGAAGUUUUGCUGAAACAAGGAAGAGACAGUGUGCGGCUGAAAGAAGAUUUGUGUCGUGUGAUGUUGCGGUGGGGCUGUGGGGUUGGGGAGAAGCAGCUGCAAAAGGAAGACGAAUCUGAAGAUAGAGGUGGGUGGAGGGAGGGAGGUCCAGGAGGGGCUGGGGGAGCCGGGGGAGAGCCUCAAACUGGCUGAUAGCACGGAUGGCCUGAACCCAGCGAGAACACAGACUGGGACUUGAACCCAUGGUUUUAAAUUUCAAUCCCUCACCCUGAGCCUGGACUCACUGAGGUUAGGGUUCUUCAUGUCUCCGUGCAGAAGGAAUUCAGCGAGAGACAAAGGGAUAGGCAAGAAAUAGAUUUAUUAACGUAGGAGGCUUGUGAGAGGUGCAAGCGGGCAGUCACGGAAACUCUGCCCCAAGGAUCCGGGGAGCUACCGUUUUUAUCAGCCAAGGGGAAUGUGGGUCGGAAAAGCCCACCUCUUUCUUUCCUCCUUAGUAUCAGGUAAGGUGUGUAUUCAAAUCCGCAGAAGGGUGGUCCUCAAACUCUCGCCCUUGGUCUGAAUCUGGAUGCAGGCCUCAUCCCACCCCCACCCAAGGACCUGGGGCAGUUCUCAAGGCUCCACUAAGGAGGCAAACCUGCUUUGUUCUGAUGGCUUUUUUGAGCCAUUUAUUUACUUACGGCGAUCUCCCAAUGUCCCAUAAGUUUCCCUCCUUGUCUGUGGCCCUUUACCGGGGCUUCUGCAACCACCAGUGUCUACUCCACUCCUAUCAAUACCACCCUCUACGCACUGCAGGAUCACGGAAGCUAAGCAGGGUCGGGCCUGGUUAGUACUUGGAUGGGAGCCUCUAGCCGCAGGCAGGACCCUGCUCAGUUCCUUCUAGGCCUGUGGCCAAGGCUGAGGCUCUCUGGGCCUCCACUGCACCCGGGGC